RNAcentral lists this ribosomal RNA (459 nucleotides) under uncultured bacterium. RNAcentral describes it as "partial 16S ribosomal RNA". It matches the Rfam family "Bacterial small subunit ribosomal RNA", at positions 338 to 795 of the family's 1533-position model. The record is from RNAcentral.
CCUACGGGAGGCAGCAGUGAGGAAUAUUGGUCAAUGGGAGAGAGCCUGAACCAGCCAAGCCGCGGGAGGGAAGACGGCCCUAUGGGGUGUAAACCUCUUUUGUCGGAGAACAAAACCCGGGACGUGUCCCGGACUGCGUGUAUCCGAAGAAAAAGCAUCGGCUAACUCCGUGCCAGCAGCCGCGGUAAUACGGAGGAUGCGAGCGUUAUCCGGAUUUAUUGGGUUUAAAGGGUGCGUGGGCGGUCCGUUAAGUCAGCGGUAAAAUUGCGGGGCUCAACCCCGUCGAGCCGUUGAAACUGGCAGACUUGAGUUGGCGAGAAGUACGCGGAAUGCGCGGUGUAGCGGUGAAAUGCAUAGAUAUCGCGCAGAACUCCGAUUGCGAAGGCAGCGUACCGGCGCCAGACUGACGCUGAGGCACGAAAGCGUGGGGAUCGAACAGGAUUAGAUACCCGAGUAGUC